CCUACGGGAGACUGCAGUCGAGAAUCAUUCACAAUGGGGGAAACCCUGAUGGUGCGACGCCGCGUGGGGGAAUGAAGGUCUUCGGAUUGUAAACCCCUGUCAUGUGGGAGCAAAUUAAAAAGAUAGUACCACAAGAGGAAGAGACGGCUAACUCUGUGCCAGCAGCCGCGGUAAUACAGAGGUCUCAAGCGUUGUUCGGAAUCACUGGGCGUAAAGCGUGCGUAGGCUGUUUCGUAAGUCGUGUGUGAAAGGCGCGGGCUCAACCCGCGGACGGCACAUGAUACUGCGAGACUAGAGUAAUGGAGGGGGAACCGGAAUUCUCGGUGUAGCAGUGAAAUGCGUAGAUAUCGAGAGGAACACUCGUGGCGAAGGCGGGUUCCUGGACAUUAACUGACGCUGAGGCACGAAGGCCAGGGGAGCGAGAGGGAUUAGAUACCCCUGUAGUC
RNAcentral lists this ribosomal RNA (446 nucleotides) under uncultured bacterium. Its description in RNAcentral is "partial 16S ribosomal RNA". It matches the Rfam family "Bacterial small subunit ribosomal RNA", at positions 338 to 795 of the family's 1533-position model. The record is from RNAcentral.